This 510-nucleotide ribosomal RNA is filed under the name uncultured bacterium. RNAcentral's name for it is "partial 16S ribosomal RNA". It matches the Rfam family "Bacterial small subunit ribosomal RNA", at positions 28 to 507 of the family's 1533-position model. The record is from RNAcentral.
GACGAACGCUGGCGGCGUGCUUAACACAUGCAAGUCGAACGAAGAGCGAUGGAAGCUUGCUUCUAUCAAUCUUAGUGGCGAACGGGUGAGUAACGCGUAAUCAACCUGCCCUUCAGAGGGGGACAACAGUUGGAAACGACUGCUAAUACCGCAUACGAUCUAAUCUCGGCAUCGAGGAUGGAUGAAAGGUGGCCUCUACAUGUAAGCUAUCACUGAAGGAGGGGAUUGCGUCUGAUUAGCUAGUUGGAGGGGUAACGGCCCACCAAGGCGAUGAUCAGUAGCCGGUCUGAGAGGAUGAACGGCCACAUUGGGACUGAGACACGGCCCAGACUCCUACGGGAGGCAGCAGUGGGGAAUCUUCCGCAAUGGACGAAAGUCUGACGGAGCAACGCCGAGUGAGUGAUGACGGCCGUCGGGUUGUAGAGCUCGGUUAAUCGGGACGAAAGGCCUUCUUGCGAAUAGUGAGAAGGAUUGACGGUACCGGAAUAGAAAGCCACGGCUAACUACGUG